CCUCUGGUUCCUGUACAAUCACUGAAGUUAAGCAAUGUUCAGUCUGUUUAGUACUUAGAUGGGUGACCGCUUGUGAAUACCAGGUGCUGUAAG
Acanthosepion pharaonis is the source of this 93-nucleotide non-coding RNA. NCBI's taxonomy places the organism in Eukaryota, Metazoa, Mollusca, Cephalopoda, Sepiida, Sepiidae. The record is from the annotation of a GenBank genome assembly.